CAGCCGCCACGGUAACACGGAGGGUGCAAGCGUUAAUCGGAAUUACUGGGCGUAAAGCGCACGCAGGCGGUUUGUUAAGUCAGAUGUGAAAUCCCCGAGCUUAACUUGGGAACUGCAUUUGAAACUGGCAAGCUAGAGUCUUGUAGAGGGGGGUAGAAUUCCAGGUGUAGCGGUGAAAUGCGUAGAGAUCUGGAGGAAUACCGGUGGCGAAGGCGGCCCCCUGGACAAAGACUGACGCUCAGGUGCGAAAGCGUGGGGAGCAAACAGGAUUAGAUACCCCGGUAGUCCCUGUCUCUUAUAC
This 301-nucleotide ribosomal RNA is filed under the name uncultured bacterium. RNAcentral describes it as "partial 16S ribosomal RNA". It matches the Rfam family "Bacterial small subunit ribosomal RNA", at positions 509 to 807 of the family's 1533-position model. The record is from RNAcentral.